UACGUAGGGUGCAAGCGUUAAUCGGAAUUACUGGGCGUAAAGCGUGCGCAGGCGGUUUUGUAAGUCUGUCGUGAAAUCCCCGGGCUUAACCUGGGAACUGCAUUUGUGACUGCAUGGCUCGAGUACGGUAGAGGGGAUGGAAUUCCGCGUGUAGCAGUGAAAUGCGUAGAUAUGCGGAGGAACACCGAUGGCGAAGGCAGUCCCUGGACCUGUACUGACGCUCAUGCACGAAGCGUGGGAGCAAC
RNAcentral lists this ribosomal RNA (245 nucleotides) under uncultured bacterium. Its description in RNAcentral is "partial 16S ribosomal RNA". It matches the Rfam family "Bacterial small subunit ribosomal RNA", at positions 524 to 772 of the family's 1533-position model. The record is from RNAcentral.